Molecule: non-coding RNA, 45 nt
Filed under: Schistosoma mattheei
Lineage: Eukaryota; Metazoa; Platyhelminthes; Trematoda; Strigeidida; Schistosomatidae
Source: RNAcentral
AUCCAGCUGACGCGUCUCAUCUAGGAUGAAACGCGCGUCGCGGAU